This 253-nucleotide ribosomal RNA is filed under the name uncultured bacterium. RNAcentral describes it as "partial 16S ribosomal RNA". It matches the Rfam family "Bacterial small subunit ribosomal RNA", at positions 524 to 776 of the family's 1533-position model. The record is from RNAcentral.
UACGUAGGGUCCGAGCGUUGUCCGGAAUUAUUGGGCGUAAAGGGCUCGUAGGCGGUUUGUCGCGUCGGGAGUGAAAACACCGGGCUUAACUCGGUGCUUGCUUUCGAUACGGGCAGACUGGAGGUAUGCAGGGGAGAACGGAAUUCCUGGUGUAGCGGUGAAAUGCGCAGAUAUCAGGAGGAACACCGGUGGCGAAGGCGGUUCUCUGGGCAUUACCUGACGCUGAGGCACGAAAGCGUGGGUAGCAAACAGG